GAUGAAGAACGUAGCGAAAUGCGAUAAGUAGUGUGAAUUGCAGAAUUCAGUGAAUCAUCGAAUCUUUGAACGCACAUUGCGCCCUGUGGUAUUCCGCAGGGCAUGCCUGUUCGAGCGUCAUUGACACCCUCAAGCUCUGCUUGGUCUUUGGCGUUUGUGCCUGCCGUUGCGCAGGGACUCGCCUCAAACUCAUUGGCAGCCUGCCUUUGCCGGUCUUUGCACAGCACAGUCGUGCCAAAGCCGCGGUGAGCAGGCGCUCCACAAGCCCUUUUCAGCUUGACCUCGGAUCAGGUAGGAAUACCCGCUGAACUUAAGCAUAUCAAUAAGCGGAGGA
Molecule: unclassified non-coding RNA, 334 nt
Filed under: soil metagenome
Description: partial contains 5.8S ribosomal RNA, internal transcribed spacer 2, and large subunit ribosomal RNA
Rfam family: 5.8S ribosomal RNA (bases 1-120)
Source: RNAcentral